AUUGAACGCUGGCGGCAGGCCUAACACAUGCAAGUCGAGCGGAUGAGGGGAGCUUGCUCCUGGAUUCAGCGGCGGACGGGUGAGUAAUGCGUAGGAAUCUGCCUGGUAGUGGGGGAUAACGUCCGGAAACGGGCGCUAAUACCGCAUACGUCCUGAGGGAGAAAGUGGGGGAUCUUCGGACCUCACGCUAUCAGAUGAGCCUAGGUCGGAUUAGCUAGUUGGUGGGGUAAAGGCCUACCAAGGCGACGAUCCGUAACUGGUCUGAGAGGAUGAUCAGUCACACUGGAACUGAGACACGGUCCAGACUCCUACGGGAGGCAGCAGUGGGGAAUAUUGGACAAUGGGCGAAAGCCUGAUCCAGCCAUGCCGCGUGUGUGAAGAAGGUCUUCGGAUUGUAAAGCACUUUAAGUUGGGAGGAAGGGCAGUAAGUUAAUACCUUGCUGUUUUGACGUUACCAACAGAAUAAGCACCGGCUAACUUCGUG
RNAcentral lists this ribosomal RNA (484 nucleotides) under uncultured bacterium. RNAcentral's name for it is "partial 16S ribosomal RNA". It matches the Rfam family "Bacterial small subunit ribosomal RNA", at positions 30 to 507 of the family's 1533-position model. The record is from RNAcentral.